Long non-coding RNA from Entelurus aequoreus (snake pipefish), 1434 nucleotides. RefSeq lists it as uncharacterized. The transcript is spliced from 3 exons. The record is from RefSeq and is a predicted model, not a curated record. Lineage: Eukaryota; Metazoa; Chordata; Actinopteri; Syngnathiformes; Syngnathidae.
AAGGGUUUUAAAGCCUUCUUUAAAAUCAUCCACAGUCUGUGGUGCCCUCAGGUGGUCAGGGAGAGCGUUCCACAGACUGGGAGCUGUGGAAUGUAACUGUUGAGCAAUGCUCUGAUUGGCUGAAGGGGAGUUUAAGUCUGGCUCUCCUGCACUGCUUCACCGAAGCCAUAGGUUGGUCUGGUCGUUGCUGUACUCCCAGUGCUGCACGUGCGGCUGCAACCUCAUGGCCCCCACCCUGCCAACACACACACACACACACAUUAACGUUAGCGGUGGAGGACGAUGCGUUCCAUUCAAGAUGUUUUUCUUCACUCUGAGAUGCCGUUGCAGUCGUUCAUGAUGACGGAAGACAGCGGCGGGCAGAGCCUCUCGAUGUAUUUGAUGGCGCGGUCGGUGAAGAGGGAGCCGCUCACGUCCAACUCCCGCAGCCUCCCAUCUUCAGCGUGAACAGACCUCUGCAGUAGAAGACGAAGGCUCUGAUGGCCUGGUCAGACAGCGCCAGACAGCCGGACACGUCCACGUACUCCAGCUCAGCCACGUACUUGCACAGGUUCUGCUCACAUUCAAUCAAGGGCUGAAUGACGGAUGGUUAGCCCGCUAAAAAGUAAGAAAUGGUGGUCAUGUCUUGGACGUGAGAGGCGUGUGAAGCUUACUUGUUUCCGAUCACGUUGACGGCCGAGUCUGUGAUCAGACAGCAGUGACUCACACUCAGCUUCUGCAACUUGCACGCCCAGGCGCUCUCGGCCAGGUGCUGGAUCCCCUUGUCCGUCACUCUGAAAGCAGGCAGGCGUCACCAACCCGUCACCCGCUCACACUCCCAGAACGAGGGCCACACAGACUUGGUACAGAGCGAGAUGUCCAAGGUCUGCAGGUUCCGCAGGGAAAGCAAACACUUGAGGCCCACGUCGGUCAUCCUCAGGCAGUCGACCACAUGGAGGGUGCGCAGGCUCCGUGAGCUGCAGCACAGCAACUUCCAGCUCACGUGGCUCACAUGCUUGUUCCCUGGAGGCGGCACACAAAAUGAGACGGGGGCGGGGGGGAGAGACACAAGGUCACUGCUCGCAGGGUUCUCACCCUCAAUGAUGAAAGUCUUCAGUUUGGCCACGUCGGCGAUGGCUGUCAUGCCGACGUCUGUCAGGUUCCUGGCCUCCACCAGCGAGAUGGAGGUCAGGUGGUGACAUUUGGACAUCAAGGCCUGGAAUGUGUAAACAUCUUAUGGUCACAUGACAACAACAAUAGUAGUGAGGAAUACACCGUAGGGCUGUCAUCUUUGGGCAACGAAUCCAUUCUCCAUUCAAAGACUUUUUUUAACACCAUUGGAUGCCAUCUUUAUAAUAAUAAUAAUAGAUUUUAUUUGUAAAAAGCACUUUACAUCGAGUAAACAACCUCAAAGUGCUACAGUGUAUUAAAAAAAUUAAAAUAUAUAUAAAAAAA